AAUACAGGUGACAUUUAAAUCCCUGAAGAUGGAUGAGCUCUCAAAGGGAGUGAAUGUGAGUAGAGAAGAGAGGACGCACUGGAGCAUGCCAACAUUGAGAGCUCAGGGAGAAGAAAAAAACCCAUUAAAGGAGACUGAGAAGGAGCAGCAGCUGGGACAGGAAGGAAGCGUGGAAACUUAGGAUGUGUUGGGAGCCAAGUGAAGAAAGUAUUUCAAGGAGGGAGUAAUGAAUCCUGUCCAACCUUGUCAAGUAAGAUGACCUGGACCACAUGACCUCUGGAUACAGUAAUGCGGACAUCACUAGUGAAGGCAAUAAAUGCAGUCUCUGUGGAAUGGUACUUGUGAGAGUCUGAAUGGAGUGCCUUUAACAUAUAUAGAAGGAAAGGAACUAGAGAUUCUGAGAACAUAGUUUUGUUUUAUUAGGGGUCGCAAUAAUCAAGCAGAAACCACUGGAUUAAGAGGGCACACGAGGCAAUAAAUAAGAGCAUGUUUGUAGACAAUUGGAGAGAGAGAAGGAAAAACUGUUUGAGAAACAGUGUAGGAGACAAAGAAUUCCCCAAGUCUGCUGUUUCAUAGGAUAUGCUUUCCUCUCUGUCUUUUUUUUUUUUUUUUUAAGUUGAAAUAAGAUAUUUUGCAGGUUUUCAGAACAGAUUGUACUGUUUGGACUGCUUAUUCUCAAGAGGACCUGUAAAGGCUAUUUUAUCUUCUUCAAGUAAAGUUUACAUUCCCUAGUCUUUAUUUCCUUUAGAAAUGUUCAGAAACUGACUUUGGGAGGAAAUACUUUAGAAAAUGUACCUUCAAUAUUACAGCACAAAGAUCGAUUAGAUGUGGGUGUAUAUGUGUGUGCAUGUCUGAAAUAAAACUUUGGAAUUCUGAACCUUUACUCUAUUUCAGCAGCAGGUCUGGAAGUUCAGACACACAACAAGGAAACAAACUACUGGUAAGAAAUGAAGUUUGCAUGAAUUCCUUUUUAAAAAGCAUUACAGUUAAUGAGACAAUUAAUUCAUGUUGAGAUCUUUCCAACAUAGUUUCGUUUUCACAUUUUACUAGUAAAGAUUUUAAAAAUAAAACAUGAAAUGUUCUUUUUCAAGCAGAAGAAGGUAAAGUGGGCAGAGUGCCAACUAAGAAUGCUACUGGGCAGGAGAGAAAUUAGGUGUAGUGUGGCCGUCCCCAUCUUUACUUGGAAUUCCGCAGUGCUCUCUACGGCCCUACCCUGUGGCAGGCACUCCAGUUGCUUCAAAAUGUUUACUUGUAUAUGAGAAAACCCUGGAAUUCAGACAUGCUACAGACUGGGUAAAUCAUAUUCUAUUUAUUUAGCCUUGGGUUUAAAUUACAGUCUAUUCAGUCAAUAGAAUGAACAUCAGUCUAUUCAGAUGUUCUUGGUUGAUACUCUUUCAAGUCAUCCCUGGGACAGCUGGGUCCUUUCUACCUGAGCCUCAGCUAGUCUCUCUUAAGGCAUCAGGUGACAACCAUGUAGGUUGGUGAGAGGUGUUGAAGCUGGGUGGAGGCUCAUUAUACUAGUUCUCUAGUUUCAUGUAAGUUUGAGAAUUUCUCUUAAACAAGAGAAAAAUAAGCUCUCUGUGCAUUCUUGAUUCAAUUUCAGUAAGGGUCCCCUAGACUUCAUCCAUAGACAUUUCCAGAACAAUCUUUUCAGCUCUAAUGUAGGGGCAAUGUGGUAUAGAAGAAAGAUCAUAGAGCUAGGAAUCAGGCCCAAGUUUGCCAGCUGCAGAGUGUGUGACGACGGCCAAGUCACUUGAACUCUCUGAGCCUUGUUCUUUAUCCAUAAAAGGAAGAAUGAUGAGACCUUAAUAAAUACUUGCCUUCAAAUAAGAUGUUUGAGAUGUGGAAUGGUUGUGUAUCGGAGUAUGGCUAUUCAGAGUAAGAUUCCAUUCAAACGGGCUUCCCUGUGGACCAUGGAAUCUUGCCCUCUGAUUUCUCUAUUUCUUUUUGGAUUCAACAGUUCUGCUUUCCUACUCUGGUCCCCAAUUAAGACGUUUGAUCUAGUGAGGUUCCUAUUCAGAACCCUACUUCUGCAUAAUUAUUUUUGUUCAAUGUUGACAUCUCUUUUCUAAGUAAAGUUUGUGUAAUCUGGCCCCAAACAGACUGGACACAUAUCUGAAAUCUGUAAUAAUUUACAGGAAGAGGGUUUUUGUUGAAGAACUCUAAGUUAAAGGGAAAUCAAUUUAGAUGAGUAGAGUACAACUUUAAUUAAAAAUUUGUUUUCUGGGAUCUACUCUAUAGCACAGGAAGGUCUACUCAAUGUUUUGUAAUAGCCCAUAUGGGGAAAAAGAACAGACAUAUGUAUGUGUGUAACUGAUUCACUCUGCUGUAAACCUGAAGCCAAUACAACAUUGCCAAUCAACUAUACCACAAUACAAUCUUUUUAAAAAGGUUGUUUUCUAACUCUAAAGAUACUUUAAUCAUACAUUACUUUUUUUCAGCUAGCAAAUCAAAACCAAAUAAUGAGUUUUAAUUUUAUAUAGUGGAGCUAUUUACAAUUGUGUUGACCCAUAAGUGUCCCUCAAUGGCACUACAUGAAAGUCCCUUUUCUCUGGUUGGUUGGAACCCUUGGGCUACUAGUUAAAUUGGAGUUUUGAAAAUGGGAGAGUUCAGAUCCCCAGGGUGUGUUAACUGCCUUUCCUCUAACAAUGCUAAUCAAUUAGCACCCUAGAGGUAACCCUCUCACCGACUGCCUGAGACACUGGAAAAGGAAAAGGUGCCAAUUACCACAUUUAGGAUUUCUCCCAAUUAGCUUCCUGGGGUUCAGAAUCUAUCUCUUUUCAAUUUACACUGAACAUAGGUAGAAGCCCUGGGGCUUGAAGUCAUUGGUUCUGCUUUAGUUACUGAAUUUUUACAUUUCUAAAAGUAUACUUAGCUCCAGGAGGAGGUUAGGAUUAUAGACCUCAUGGCUAUGAGAUGUUCCGAGUUAGUGCUGCUGCCUUCCCACACAACCCCUCUUAAACCUUGGAACUCAAAGCGCAAUUGCUCAGCAGAAGAGAUUCUGCUCUGUGCCAGGAGGAACUAAAUUGCAGGUGGAUCUCAGAGGCCUCUUUAAAUAGUUCUUGUUCGCUUUGGUAGAGAAGAUUAGGGUGAAGGAUAACAAGCUCUUUAAUUCAGUGAAGAUGCCUUCACUACACAAGCAGAGUGAAACAUGUUCUACUUUUGUGGCACCACCACCUGGGGACCAGGGUGGUGGUGCCACAAUUCGCCUUUACUGACUGGGUCUCUGAAAAAUACAUUAACUUUUCUACUCUCUUGGAAAACCAUGCAUUCUCAAGAGCUUUUUUUCACCUCUAUGUCCCUGGGACAAAAUUUCUGACGCUAAAACAGCAUCUAGUCAGUACCAUUUGAAAGAGAACCAAUGGACUGGUUCCAUGCAGAGGAUCAGGUGAUUGACAGAUGAAUCCUUAUAGCCGUUUAUGGGGGUGGUUUUUCAGAGUCAUCACUAUUACAGUGAUACUUUUCUUCUCCUCCUCUUCAUCAUUAAUAUCAUUAUUACUAUUACUGCAACUUUCGAAAUGAAAAAAUUUGAGAAUCAGGGAGAUUGAGGGAGAGUCUGGCUGUUGAGUGAUCAGUGAGUUACGGGCUGACUACAUAGUCGGAAUAUUAUGGGAUAGUCCAGUGAGAAUUUAUGUGGAUCCACUUCUCAGGUGCCAGGUUGUCCUUGUUUAUCUGGACCUUAUUCCUCUGGGCCUGUUGGAGCAUUAAAACAUUAUUUGAACUAUUGCCUUUGUUCUACUUUAACAACCUCUGUAAGAGGACAGCUAGUACUUAUAAAUCAUCUCAUUUGAAACUGUUUAGGAAAUAAAAGUUCUAUUGCAAGGAGGCCCGACCUGAACUGGGGAUACCUGGCUCAGGGUUUCUUCCCCACUCCCCCAAAACUAUUCCUAAGAAUGGAGACACAUAGAAAUGGCUGAUGUAAAACAGCAGAUGAUCAUUGGUUAAGUGGAAUGGCACAUCUAAAAGUGAGAGUAUGGGUAUGAAUUCAUUACGGCUAGAGUAUGUAGGAAGUAUUUCACCCAUUGGGCAAAAUGGCUUAUUAUAAAAUCUUGUAAGACAUUUAGUGGUCAAGUUGUAAUUUCGGGAUGACUUCAUUAAAGAAAUGUUAUUUUAAGCACUUUUUAGUUUUUAAUAGGUAAGGUCAAAUUCAUAGCACACUAUAUGGGAAGUCAGCUUUAUAAAACAACCUUUAAUUAGCUAAAAAAAUUACUACAUUUGAUAAGCUGGGAAGGGCAAGUAACACCUUAAGCUGUGUCAAAUUAUAGAACUUCUUCUAGUACUUGGUAUAAUAGAGGAUUAUUUUCGCAAGAAACAUAUUUGGUCACAUUUUUGAUAUUUCUAAAUUUCAGCAUUCUAAAAUCGCUUUCAAAAGAUUUUCCCCUUUGAUGAGCAAACUUUCAAAUCAUUAAUGAAUUACUAUUGUUAAUAUAGCACUUGUGCUUUAAAUGAAUAUUUCAAAUGAUUUAAAGUCAGUUUUAUUUACCUUAAAAUGAAGUCAAUACAGAUUCCAUUCCUAU
This 4517-nucleotide long non-coding RNA is filed under the name Sus scrofa (pig). RNAcentral's name for it is "lncRNA (ENSSSCG00000054877.1)". Lineage: Eukaryota; Metazoa; Chordata; Mammalia; Artiodactyla; Suidae. The record is from RNAcentral.